RNAcentral lists this ribosomal RNA (488 nucleotides) under uncultured bacterium. RNAcentral's name for it is "bacterial SSU rRNA". It matches the Rfam family "Bacterial small subunit ribosomal RNA", at positions 28 to 524 of the family's 1533-position model. The record is from RNAcentral.
GAUGAACGCUAGCGACAGGCUUAACACAUGCAAGUCGAGGGGCAGCAUAAAAGUAGCAAUACUUUGGUGGCGACCGGCGCACGGGUGAGUAACGCGUAUGCAACCUACCUAUCAGAGGGGAAUAACCCGGCGAAAGUCGGACUAAUACCGCAUAAAACAGGGGCACCGCAUGGUGAUAUUUGUUAAAGAAAUUCGCUGAUAGAUGGGCAUGCGUUCCAUUAGGUAGUUGGUGAGGUAACGGCUCACCAAGCCGACGAUGGAUAGGGGGAACUGAGAGGUUGGUCCCCCCACACUGGUACUGAGACACGGACCAGACUCCUACGGGAGGCAGCAGUGGGGGGAUAUUGCACAAUGGGCGAAAGCCUGAUGCAGCAACGCCGCGUGAGGGAAGACGGUUUUCGGAUGUAAACCUCUGUCUUCGGUGAAGAAACAAAUGACGGUAGCCGAGGAGGAGCCACGGCUAACUACGUGCCAGCAGCCGCGGUAAU